This 355-nucleotide ribosomal RNA is filed under the name uncultured Selenomonas sp. RNAcentral's name for it is "bacterial SSU rRNA". It matches the Rfam family "Bacterial small subunit ribosomal RNA", at positions 9 to 339 of the family's 1533-position model. The record is from RNAcentral. Lineage: Bacteria; Bacillati; Bacillota; Negativicutes; Selenomonadales; Selenomonadaceae.
AGUAGUUUGAUCAGUGGCUCGAGGACGAACGCUGGCGGCGUGCUUAACACAUGCAAGUCGAACGAGGUGAUUGAAAGCUUGCUUUUGAGAACCGAGUGGCAAACGGGUGAGUAACGCGUAGACAACCUGCCGCAAAGAUGGGGACAACAGUCCGAAAGGACUGCUAAUACCGAAUGUUGUAUCGUUUCCGCAUGGAGAUGAUAUUAAAGAUGGCCUCUACUUGUAAGCUAUCGCUUUGCGAUGGGUCUGCGUCUGAUUAGCUAGUUGGUGGGGUAACGGCCUACCAAGGCGACGAUCAGUAGCCGGUCUGAGAGGAUGAACGGCCACAUUGGAACUGAGACACGGUCCAGACUCC